This 468-nucleotide ribosomal RNA is filed under the name uncultured bacterium. RNAcentral describes it as "partial 16S ribosomal RNA". It matches the Rfam family "Bacterial small subunit ribosomal RNA", at positions 28 to 507 of the family's 1533-position model. The record is from RNAcentral.
GACGAACGCUGGCGGCGUGCUUAACACAUGCAAGUCGAACGGAAAGGCCCUGCUUUUGUGGGGUGCUCGUUUGGCGAACGGGUGAGUAACACGUGAGUAACCUGCCCUUGACUUUGGGAUAACUUCAGGAAACUGGGGCUAAUACCGGAUAGGAUCUCCUGCUGCAUGGUGGGGGUUGGAAAGUUUCGGCGGUUGGGGAUGGACUCGCUGCUUAUGAGCUUGCUUGUGGGGUAGUGGCUUACCAAGGCUGUGACGGGUAGCCGGCCUGGGAGGGUGACCGGCCACAUUGGGACUGAGAUACGGACCAGACGCCUACGGGAGGCAGCAGUGGGGAAUAUUGCACAAUGGGCGGAAGCCUGAUGCAGCAACGCCGCGUGCGGGAUGACGGCCUUCGGGUUGUAAACCGCUUUCGCCUGUGACGAAGCGUGAGUGACGGUAAUGGGUAAAGAAGCACCGGCUAACUACGUG